UGGUUUAAGGUAUUACAUACUUCAAAGACAUUACUAAUAUAAUAAAAUAUUAAACGUCGCUUAUACAAAAUUCCCUUUCUAAUAUAAUGCAUCUUUAAUUAAAUUAAAUAAAGACUCUAUUAAUCCUUCCCCGUGUCAUAAUCAGAGCGGAGCUUCACCAACAACUCGAACACCGACAAACAUACACAACCUGAUAAUCUGAACCCCCAACGGUUCAGCACAAACACAAAACAGAGGGUUAGAUAAUAUAAUCAUAACCAGUGAUUGAAUAUAACGAANNNNNNNNNNNNNNNNNNNNNNNNNNNNNNNNNNNNNNNNNNNNNNNNNNAAGAACAAAUGCAUAGAUACAACCCAGACAUCCACACACAUAUAUCAGACAUACUCAGACAUAUGUAUAUAUGAGUUAAAGAUAACAUAUAUCACAUAACUACAUGUUAUUAACGAGUUAUAAUAAUCAAGUAACACAUUAUAUUCAUUUAUCAAUCACACAUCACAGUAAACUAGAUCAUACAUCACUUGGAUAACUUAAUCUAAGUGUUUUAGAUCAUCGUCUCUAAAACAUUCUAGAUCAUCGUCUCUAGAAUAACAGUAAACUAGAUCAUCGUCUCUAGGAUACUCAUCAAUAGACACAACUUAUGAAUGCAUGAAUGUGCAUAUAUCAAACACAUGGUUUUAUCUCAACUAUAACAUAACAUAAUAUGGAUAACAUAAUUCAAAUAUUCUAAAUCAUCGUCGUUAGAAUACAUCUACUCAUGAUAAAUCAUCAUUUAUCAUCAUCAAUGAAUCAACAUCAUGAUUUAUCAUAAUCUAUCAACAAGUCUAUUCAUCAUCAUUAAUCAACAACACAUAAUGUAUCAACAAAACUUAACAACAUCACUAUCAUCAUCAACUCAUGGAAAAUACAUUUAUUCCAUACUCAAAAGAUACUAAAACUAAUUAACAACAAUUAGUUAUUUAAUUCAAUUAAUAAAAACUAAUUAAGCAUACUUUAUUACCAAAAUAUAUGCAAACACCAACAACCAACAAUCAUCUUAGAAAACAAACUCCGUAGUCGGAAUCUACACGAAAAAAAUGAGCAAAAUAGAUUCCAGGUGCAUAAGUCAACAAAAAGUCAAAAAUUGUCAACAUAAGGAGUUGCGUCGACUAUAGCGUCGGCCAAAUUGCGUCGCAAGCGCACUGUUCAUACUGCAGAAUUCUGCAGGACACGUUUUGGUGCGAUUUUGGUCCAAAUAAGCACUUUAAAGCUACGAAAACCACUUAUUUAAACCCAUAAAUUCAUGUCAAACAAUUACCACACUUAUAACAUGAUUAAAUCAACUUAAAUCAUCAAUUAUAAGCACUUAUUCAUGGAUUUUCAUCAUUUAUCAAAUCAUUUCAUUUAUAAAUCAUGAACACACAUAGAUAAUCAUAUAUCAUAACAUAAAUUUCAUGAUUAUCAUAUUCCCAAAUCCCAUAACUAACCCAAAGAUUAUAAAACUAGAGAAUUAUACUUCUCUCCUCUCCAUUAAUUCACCUCAAAUAUUAUAAAACUACGUACCAUCAUACCUCUAAUGAAGCUUGAAAAAUGGAAGCUUGGUUGUUCUUUGAGCUUGGUUCUCUUUUCUUCGUUUCUUCCUCCCUUUGUUU
Molecule: long non-coding RNA, 1626 nt
Filed under: Trifolium pratense (red clover)
Lineage: Eukaryota; Viridiplantae; Streptophyta; Magnoliopsida; Fabales; Fabaceae
Description: long non-coding RNA (TPRA_LNC013301)
Source: RNAcentral